GACGAACGCUGGCGGCGUGCUUAACACAUGCAAGUCGAACGGAAAGGCCCUGCUUUUGUGGGGUGCUCGAGUGGCGAACGGGUGAGUAACACGUGAGUAACCUGCCCUUGACUUUGGGAUAACUUCAGGAAACUGGGGCUAAUACCGGAUAGGAGCUCCUGCUGCAUGGUGGGGGUUGGAACGUUUCGGCGGGUGGGGAUGGACUCGCGGCUUAUCAGCUUGUUGGUGGGGUAGUGGCUUACCAAGGCUUUGACGGGUAGCCGGCCUGAGAGGGUGACCGGCCACAUUGGGACUGAGAUACGGCCCAGACUCCUACGGGAGGCAGCAGUGGGGAAUAUUGCACAAUGGGCGGAAGCCUGAUGCAGCAACGCCGCGUGCGGGAUGACGGCCUUCGGGGUGUAAACCGCUUUCGCCUGUGACGAAGCGUGAGUGACGGUAAUGGGUAAAGAAGCACCGGCUAACUACGUG
Molecule: ribosomal RNA, 468 nt
Filed under: uncultured bacterium
Lineage: Bacteria
Description: partial 16S ribosomal RNA
Rfam family: Bacterial small subunit ribosomal RNA
Source: RNAcentral